RNAcentral lists this ribosomal RNA (435 nucleotides) under Burkholderia sp. Mb345PL. Its description in RNAcentral is "bacterial SSU rRNA". It matches the Rfam family "Bacterial small subunit ribosomal RNA", at positions 154 to 584 of the family's 1533-position model. The record is from RNAcentral. Lineage: Bacteria; Pseudomonadati; Pseudomonadota; Betaproteobacteria; Burkholderiales; Burkholderiaceae. RNAcentral also lists the same sequence under 14 other names.
AAAGCCGGAUUAAUACCGCAUACGCUCUGUGGAGGAAAGCGGGGGAUCUUCGGACCUCGCGCUCAAGGGGCGGCCGAUGGCAGAUUAGCUAGUUGGUGGGGUAAAGGCCUACCAAGGCGACGAUCUGUAGCUGGUCUGAGAGGACGACCAGCCACACUGGGACUGAGACACGGCCCAGACUCCUACGGGAGGCAGCAGUGGGGAAUUUUGGACAAUGGGGGCAACCCUGAUCCAGCAAUGCCGCGUGUGUGAAGAAGGCCUUCGGGUUGUAAAGCACUUUUGUCCGGAAAGAAAACCUCUGGGUUAAUACCCUGGGGGGAUGACGGUACCGGAAGAAUAAGCACCGGCUAACUACGUGCCAGCAGCCGCGGUAAUACGUAGGGUGCGAGCGUUAAUCGGAAUUACUGGGCGUAAAGCGUGCGCAGGCGGUUCGCU